UGGGGAAUAUUGGACAAUGGGGGGAACCCUGAUCCAGCCAUGCCGCGUGUGUGAAGAAGGCCUUAUGGUUGUAAAGCACUUUAAGCGAGGAGGAGGGUACUGGUAUUAAUACUACCAGGUACUGGACGUUACUCGCAGAAUAAGCACCGGCUAACUCUGUGCCAGCAGCCGCGGUAAUACAGAGGGUGCGAGCGUUAAUCGGAUUUACUGGGCGUAAAGCGUGCGUAGGCGGCUAAUUGAGUCGGAUGUGAAAUCCCCGAGCUUAACUUGUGAAUUGCAUUCGAUACUGGUUAGCUAGAGUGUGGGAGAGGAUGGUAGAAUUCCAGGUGUAGCGGUGAAUUGCGUAGAGAUCUGGAGGAAUACCGAUGGCGAAGGCAGCCAUCUGGCCUAACACUGGCGCUGAGGUACGAAAGCAUGGGGAGCAAACAGG
Molecule: ribosomal RNA, 430 nt
Filed under: Pseudomonadota bacterium
Lineage: Bacteria; Pseudomonadati; Pseudomonadota
Description: Proteobacteria bacterium partial 16S ribosomal RNA
Rfam family: Bacterial small subunit ribosomal RNA
Source: RNAcentral